CUUAGUUAUAUGAAAUGUAGCAUUUACAAAAAAAUAACUUAUAUUGCUGAGAAGACUGCAUAUCUGAACAGUUAUAAUGCACUUCUUUCUAUUUCAUUAGUUGUGACUUGACUCUAGAAACUUGAAUGAAAUAUUGAUUUCUCUCUCAGCAAUAAACGAGUCUCAAGCUGGAUGAAAUUACAGGGGUUUCCUGGUUGAAGGGGUACAUUCUGUAUCAUUUCGAGACAAUAUACCUACAUAAAGUCGAUUUCUAUCUUUUUUGGGAUAAGAAUUUAUCAAUGAUUAUGAAAUAUUAUAGAAAUUGUUAAUCUUGACAUUUUCUUUUAUCUUUUUUUUAUUUUGCUAAAUGUAGUAUUAAACCAACGUAGUUACUCUG
This 376-nucleotide long non-coding RNA is filed under the name Mytilus galloprovincialis (Mediterranean mussel). The record is from RNAcentral. Lineage: Eukaryota; Metazoa; Mollusca; Bivalvia; Mytilida; Mytilidae.